UGUCGCAAUUUUCCUAAUAAAAUUACCACACCCCUAAUCUCUCGCAAGCCUCAAAUUGAAUCGCUCCACUUCUCACACUCACCCACGCAAUCACACGCAAACACAACGAAUCGACGACUUUGAACCGAUGUUUCAGAAAUUUUAUCACAUGCGAUGGUGGUUUAGAAGCUGAAUUCGGAGCUGUUGAGGUGUAUGUCAACGACUUGUGAAACUGCUUUUGUAUGUCCUUAUACUUCCAAGCCGAAUUCGAUCAGUUGUGCGGCUAGGGCGGCAUAGCUAACUUCUCUGGCGACACAUAUUGGUAGCUCUCGGUGUUUUCCCUCAUUUUUCUGUACCCACAGGUUGAUAUCCUCAAACAGUACCGCCAUAUAAGCCUUUGUUGCCUCUUGAAGUGCCAACACAACAUGGCUCUGGAAACACAGAUCAAUCUUAAAGUUAUAUGCUAUUUCACGAACAAGCCUUUGGAAUGAAAGCUUCCUGAUCAAGAGCUUAGUACUCUUCUGAUGUUUGUGAAUUUCACAAGUAGCAACAGUACCAGGGCGAUAACGGUGGGGCUUUUGGUUUUGAUAUAUUGUCUUGUGAUAGUAAAUAAUAUAUUUUGGUAGAUAUUCAUGAAGAUUAUAUAUAUAAUUGAAAUCAAUUAAAAAAAAUAGUCAGUCAAAAUCUAUACAAAAUCUAUAGAUUUUUUCGUAUUAUUUCUA
Molecule: long non-coding RNA, 701 nt
Organism: Andrographis paniculata
Lineage: Eukaryota; Viridiplantae; Streptophyta; Magnoliopsida; Lamiales; Acanthaceae
Exons: 3
Source: RefSeq, a predicted model, not a curated record